Molecule: long non-coding RNA, 1934 nt
Filed under: Homo sapiens (human)
Lineage: Eukaryota; Metazoa; Chordata; Mammalia; Primates; Hominidae
Description: HSALNT0156778
Source: RNAcentral
AUGAGAGGUUCAUCUGGGGAAGAUGGGAAGUUCUGGAGCCGAUGGCAGUGAUGCUCACAAAACAGUGGGAAUGCGCUUAGCAUCACCGAACCACGCACGUAAAAGUCACUGCAACGGCCCCUCUCACGUCCACUUUACCACAAUAACAACGCUCAGAAAGAACAAAUGAACGAACGUCAGAAGGAGGGGGCCAUGCAGGUCUGGAGGGAAACCGGGUCUCAUUGGCCUCACCCUGACUUUUCUCAACUCCCUGGGUUACUGAUUGGGUUCUGAGGUGCUCCACGUCCUCACCAGGCAAAACACCCCGAGAUCCCUGCCCACGGGCCAACACCACGGCAGGAUGUCCCAGAUGGCGAGCCCUGUUCCUGUCCCCAAGGCAGAGUGUGUCAUCGGGGACUCGCCCAGGUGACACCAUCAGAGACCACGCAGGCAGCCCCACCAGGGGAGUCUGUGCGGAUGUGGGCGGCAGUGGCGAGUGGUAGGGCCGCCUGGUGGAGCCCAGCAGAGCCUCGGCGGGGGUAGGAGGGAGACGGGGAGGCCUACUCCCUAAAAGUGUAUACCAUUUGUUAAAAUGCACCACAAGAAAAUGAGCCCCUAGUCCUUGAUGAUACAGAAAUAUACAACUUAAAUGCAAAUGGACAGAACAGUGCUGAAUCAACUGAUUUUAAGACUUCCUGUACAGCUACAGUCAUGAAGCCUGCAUGGUUCAGGGAAGUGGACAGACAGGUCAAUGGCACAGAAUAGGAGACCCACAGACAGACCCACAUGGCCAUGCUCGAUUGGCUUUUGACAAAGGUGCACCAGCCUUUGUCAACGGAGGAGGCAGCAGCCUUCACAAAUGGGGCUUGAGCAACUGGCCAUCCGCACCCACACGUGGCACCAAAACCACCCUCCGUCUCAGCCUCGCACCCUACACAAAAACUGCAGAAGGUCUUUAUGAGCUUAGGUUAAGCUAAAGUCUUAGACAAGGCCCCCAAAGCACGAUCCACAAUGGAAAUGAUUGACGAGCUAGAAUUCAUCAGAAUGAAAAACUUCCGAUCUCUGAAUGAAGAUAAAAAAACAAGCUAGCCACAGACUGGAGGAAGAUGCUUGCAAAUCACAUAUCUGACAAAGGACUUGUAUCUAAAAAAUAUAAAGAAAUCUCGAUACUCAACAGUUAAAAACCAACAAUCCAGUUCCAAGAAUGGGCAAAAGAUUUGAAGACUCUUCCCCAGGGGACUUACAGAUGGAAAUUAGCACAUGAAAAGACACUCAAGCAUCCUUAGCCAUGGGAGAAAUGCAAAUCAAGCCAUGUUGCGGUCCCACCUCCCAGUGCGGGAAACGUAAAAACACCGACGCCAAGUGCCGGCGAGGAUGCGGGGCAGCUGGGACGUCCUGACGACGUGGUCUCACCUCCCAGUGCGGCGAAACAUAAAAACACUGACACCCCCAAGUGCUGGCGAGGACACGGGGCAGCUGGGACGUCCUGACCUCACUGGGGAGAGUGCAAAGUGGCAUGGCCACUCUGGAAAACUGCUUGGUGGCUUCUUGUCAAGUUCAACAUACACUUAUGACCCAGCAAUUAUACUUCUAGGUAUUUGCCCAAGAAAAAUGGGAGUUUAUCUCCAAAGACAGCCUGCACAGGAACGCUUAUCCCGUCUCUACUCUUGAAUGCCCCAGGCUAGACGCAGCCCGGAUGUCCUGCAAUGGGCAUGCAGAUAAAGACACUGUGAACCAUCCACAUGACGUGUUACCGCUUGGCUGUGAAAAGGAACAAAUGAUUGGCACACAACCUGGAUGGAUCUCAAAUCGUGCUGUUACACAGAAGACGUAAAAUGAUUACAUACUGGUGAUCCCAUUUGUAUGACAUUGUCCAGGAAACUAAACUUGGGGGACAGAGAAUCAUUUCCAUUGUGGCCACCAGGGGCUGGGGUGCGGACAAGCCUCAAGGGCAG